This 461-nucleotide ribosomal RNA is filed under the name uncultured bacterium. RNAcentral describes it as "partial 16S ribosomal RNA". It matches the Rfam family "Bacterial small subunit ribosomal RNA", at positions 338 to 795 of the family's 1533-position model. The record is from RNAcentral.
CCUACGGGUGGCAGCAGUGAGGAAUAUUGGUCAAUGGGCGAGAGCCUGAACCAGCCAAGUCGCGUGAAGGAUGAAGGAUCUAUGGUUUGUAAACUUCUUUUAUAUGGGAAUAAAGUGAGGAACGUGUUCCUUUUUGUAUGUACCAUAUGAAUAAGCAUCGGCUAACUCCGUGCCAGCAGCCGCGGUAAUACGGGGGAUGCAAGCGUUAUCCGGAUUUAUUGGGUUUAAAGGGUGCGUAGGCUGUGAGGUAAGUCAGCGGUGAAAUGCCCCCGCUCAACGGGGUGAAGUGCCAUUGAUACUGCCUUGCUGGAAUGCGGAUGCCGUGGGAGGAAUGUGUGGUGUAGCGGUGAAAUGCAUAGAUAUCACACAGAACACCGAUUGCGAAGGCAUCUCACGAAUCCGCGAUUGACGCUGAUGCACGAAAGCGUGGGUAUCAAACAGGAUUAGAUACCCUAGUAGUC